UACGGGAAGGCAGCAGUGGGGAAUAUUGCACAAUGGGCGCAAGCCUGAUGCAGCCAUGCCGCGUGUAUGAAAAAGGCCUUCGGGUUGUAAAGUACUUUCAGUCGUGAGGAAGGUGUUAAGGUUAAUAACCUUAGCAAUUGACGUUAGCGACAGAAGAAGCACCGGCUAACUCCGUGCCAGCAGCCGCGGUAAUACGGAGGGUGCGAGCGUUAAUCGGAAUUACUGGGCGUAAAGGGCACGCAGGCGGUUAAUUAAGUUGGAUGUGAAAUCCCCGGGCUUAACCUGGGAAUGGCAUUCAAGCUGGUUAGCUAGAGUCUUGUAGAGGGGGUAGAAUUCCAUGUGUAGCGGUGAAAUGCGUAGAGAUGUGGAGGAAUACCGGUGGCGAAGGCGGCCCCUGGACAAAGGACUGACACUCAUGUGCGAAAGCGUGGGGAGCAAACAGGGAUUAGAU
Molecule: ribosomal RNA, 451 nt
Filed under: uncultured bacterium
Lineage: Bacteria
Description: bacterial SSU rRNA
Rfam family: Bacterial small subunit ribosomal RNA
Source: RNAcentral